GACGAACGCUGGCGGCGUGCUUAACACAUGCAAGUCGAACGGAAAGGCCCUGCUUUUGUGGGGUGCUCGAGUGGCGGACGGGUGAGUAACACGUGAGUAACCUGCCCUUGACUUUGGGAUAACUUCAGGAAACUGGGGCUAAUACCGGAUAGGAGCUCCUGCUGCAUGGUGGGGGUUGGAAAGUUUCGGCGGUUGGGGAUGGACUCGCGGCUUAUCAGCUUGUUGGUGGGGUAGUGGCUUACCAAGGCUUUGACGGGUAGCCGGCCUGAGAGGGUGACCGGCCACAUUGGGACUGAGAUACGGCCCAGACUCCUACGGAAGGCAGCAGUGGGGAAUAUUGCACAAUGGGCGGAAGCCUGAUGCAGCAACGCCGCGUGCGGGAUGACGGCCUUCGGGUUGUAAACCGCUUUCGCCUGUGACGAAGCGUGAGUGACGGUAAUGGGUAAAGAAGCACCGGCUAACUACGUG
RNAcentral lists this ribosomal RNA (468 nucleotides) under uncultured bacterium. RNAcentral's name for it is "partial 16S ribosomal RNA". It matches the Rfam family "Bacterial small subunit ribosomal RNA", at positions 28 to 507 of the family's 1533-position model. The record is from RNAcentral.